GAUGAACGCUGGCGGCGUGCCUAAUACAUGCCAGUCGAGCGAACGGACGAGAAGCUUGCUUCUCUGAUGUUAGCGGCGGACGGGUGAGUAACACGUGGAUAACCUACCUAUAAGACUGGGAUAACUUCGGGAAACCGGAGCUAAUACCGGAUAAUAUUUUGAACCGCAUGGUUCAAAAGUGAAAGACGGUCUUGCUGUCACUUAUAGAUGGAUCCGCGCUGCAUUAGCUAGUUGGUAAGGUAACGGCUUACCAAGGCAACGAUGCAUAGCCGACCUGAGAGGGUGAUCGGCCACACUGGAACUGAGACACGGUCCAGACUCCUACGGGAGGCAGCAGUAGGGGAUCUUCCGCAAUGGGCGAAAGCCUGACGGAGCAACGCCGCGUGAGUGAUGAAGGUCUUCGGAUCGUAAAACUCUGUUAUUAGGGAAGAACAUAUGUGUAAGUAACUGUGCACAUCUUGACGGUACCUAAUCAGAAAGCCACGGCUAACUACGUG
This 497-nucleotide ribosomal RNA is filed under the name uncultured bacterium. RNAcentral's name for it is "partial 16S ribosomal RNA". It matches the Rfam family "Bacterial small subunit ribosomal RNA", at positions 28 to 507 of the family's 1533-position model. The record is from RNAcentral.